UCGAGAAUCUUCGGCAAUGCGCGCAAGCGUGACCGAGCGACGCCGCGUGCGGGAUGAAGGCCUUCGGGUUGUAAACCGCGAAAGUGAGGAGGAAAUCGCUGGGGGUUCUCCCCCAGUGUUGACCUAUUCACAGUAAGGACGGGCUAAGUUCGUGCCAGCAGCCGCGGUAAUACGAACCGUCCAAACGUUAUUCGGAAUCACUGGGCUUAAAGGGUACGUAGGCGGCGCUGUUAGUCGGGUGUGAAAGCCCACGGCUCAACCGUGGAAUUGCGCCCGAUACUGCAGUGCUUGAGGGAGACAGAGGUAAGCGGAACUGAUGGUGGAGCGGUGAAAUGCGUUGAUAUCAUCAGGACACCGGUGGCGAAAGCGGCUUACUGGGUCUCUUCUGACGCUGAGGUACGAAAGCUAGGGGAGCGAAGGGGAUUAGAUACCCCCGUAGUCCUAGCUGUAACGUUGAGCACUUGAUCGUGGCCCCCCCGAUAGGCUCUCGGUCGUAGCGAAGUG
This 504-nucleotide ribosomal RNA is filed under the name uncultured Planctomycetota bacterium. RNAcentral's name for it is "bacterial SSU rRNA". It matches the Rfam family "Bacterial small subunit ribosomal RNA", at positions 355 to 859 of the family's 1533-position model. The record is from RNAcentral. Lineage: Bacteria; Pseudomonadati; Planctomycetota.